This 369-nucleotide ribosomal RNA is filed under the name Triticum aestivum (bread wheat). RNAcentral's name for it is "partial small subunit ribosomal RNA". Lineage: Eukaryota; Viridiplantae; Streptophyta; Magnoliopsida; Poales; Poaceae. The record is from RNAcentral.
UUCUGGACAGAUUCUUGGCACAUUGGGGGCUCUGCUAGACCCCUAUGUUGGAGAUUGCCUAGGUUGUUUUUAUUUGUCAAUAAUGAUAGGAUCUCAGUGCAGGAAUUUCUUCAAUCCCAGGAUCUCUACUCUAUGUUUUAUUUGCCCCUUUCUCAUGAGGCUGCUGCUGAGUUACACAUGCUGGAAGGUUGGAUCAUGCAGUUAGAGAGAGACCCCACUAUACCUGAUGUUUGGAUAUGGCCUGGUCAAUCAGGAGGAUACACUGCCAAAAGUUUCUACACGAUCAUGCACUCACACCUACCUACAAUACAACCUUGCAAAUGGCUAUGGCAGAGUAAGUGCACCAUGAAGGUCAAGGUGUUCGGGUGG